Molecule: ribosomal RNA, 253 nt
Filed under: uncultured bacterium
Lineage: Bacteria
Description: partial 16S ribosomal RNA
Rfam family: Bacterial small subunit ribosomal RNA
Source: RNAcentral
GACAUGGGGGGCCAGCGUUGCUCGGAAUUACUGGGUGUAAGGGGUUCGUAGGCGGUGUGGCAAGUUGGGAGUGAAAUCUCUGGGCUCAACCCAGAGGCUGCUUCCAAAACUGCCAUGCUUGAGUGUGGGAGAGGCGCGUGGAAUUGCAGGUGCAGCGGUGAAAUGCGUAGAUAUCUGCAGGAACACCCGUGGCGAAAGCGGCGCGCUGGACCACAACUGACGCUGAGGAACGAAAGCUAGGGGAGCAAACAGG